Molecule: ribosomal RNA, 301 nt
Filed under: uncultured bacterium
Lineage: Bacteria
Description: partial 16S ribosomal RNA
Rfam family: Bacterial small subunit ribosomal RNA
Source: RNAcentral
CAGUAGCCACGGUAAUACGAAGGGUGCAAGCGUUACUCGGAAUUACUGGGCGUAAAGCGUGUGUAGGUGGUUGUUUAAGUCUGUCGUGAAAGCCCUGGGCUCAACCUGGGAAUUGCGAUGGAUACUGGGCGACUAGAGUGCGGUAGAGGAUAGUGGAAUUUCCGGUGUAGCAGUGAAAUGCGUAGAGAUCGGAAGGAACAUCUGUGGCGAAGGCGACUAUCUGGGCCAACACUGACACUGAGACACGAAAGCGUGGGGAGCAAACAGGAUUAGAUACCCCAGUAGUCCCUGUCUCUUAUAC